RNAcentral lists this long non-coding RNA (3738 nucleotides) under Triticum aestivum (bread wheat). RNAcentral describes it as "long non-coding RNA (TAES_LNC014234)". Lineage: Eukaryota; Viridiplantae; Streptophyta; Magnoliopsida; Poales; Poaceae. The record is from RNAcentral.
UUCAAUACAUUAUACCAACAAACGUCACAACUAAUUAUUACUCUACCAUCCAGAUGAUGAGUCACAGGAAUAGGAAGUGUAUGAACAAUAUAGCAUAGCUUAUAUGUGCACAGUAAGUCACGCAUGAAGCGAGUUUACAUAACCAAUACAACUCAUUCAAUCGGGACUAUUGAUUAUGGAAGCACAGAAGUCGAGUUUGUAAAGUGCCCAAUUCACCUGCAGAGAGGGGCAAUCUCGGGCAAGCCCACAUAGACCAUUCCAUCUACAUGGUAGAGAUCAGGUGCACAAUGUAAGAAUGCCUGAUGGUGUGGGGCUCGCCUCUAUAACCCAACAUACUUGACCUCCCUCCAACAGCCUCUUGAGUUCACCAAUCUACAACAAAACCAGCCCCAUAAGAGCACAUAAUCACACCAAAUGGCAAGGUAAGUAUUCCCUGGCAAGUACUGGACCAGAAAACUCUGACUGGAGCUACAUGAUAUUAGAUGCAACUUUUCAUCUCAACCAUAUGCGAAUACUGAUGGAAGAUGCAGUACUUAUUAGGCACAUGUAGAAUGAGGUAUCAAAAGAGCAAGUGGUACAGAAAAGAAGUGAACACAACAUGAUAAAAGAGGGCAAAGUGUUAUGGCAGACCUUUUAUUUUCAAAGAGUUGAUGAGCUGGAGACCAUAUAAUUUUGAAGGUCUAACCAACUGUGCAUACCAUGGUUUCAUGGUUGGAAUUCUCUAAGCAUUAUAAGUGUGGUCAAUAUAAAAUUGUAGAGCACUUGCAACCAAGAAAAACAUGUAAACAUGACCCAAACAAUAUAAAAGUAGAUCCGACCUCACCAAUUGAAUCUCAAACCCUGGUAACAUUCUUAAAACAAUAAAUCGUUUACAAUAUAUUGCAAUUUGAACCACUAAUUGUUUCGAACAUUAGGCAAUUUCUUAGAGCACUCCCAUAUCAAUUUGAAUCACUAAUUUAUGUUGUGUGAUGGGAGACACUGAUUUAGAAGAUAUAACAAUGUUUGAUUUGAAAUCAUAUAUGCUAAGGCAUCACAUCAACACAAGUAAGGCCUGGGCAGUUUCUACUUGGUUCCAAUGCUCAAAACUCUCACACAAUAAACAACACAAUGCUUGUUAGCAGCUAAAGGCUCUCCCGAAAAGAAGGAAAAAAAACAUUGCUACAUGAUCUUACAUUCAUAGGCAUCAUAUGCAUGUGCAGAGUAUCUUAUAAGUUGUACAAAACAAACAACAACACACUACAGUAGAUACGCAUGCGCAAUGAGACCCCAAGCUAUAGGACCGGUAGCUUGGUUUAAGUUACUUUGAGGAAAAAGACAUCCGGUUCUUCGCCUCAAAAUGAUUUGCCUGUAUGAAUAUCAAAAUAUGGUUCUGAAACCAUGGUACUUAACUGGUUAGUACGUUUUAUCAUCAUAUUAAUUCAGUUGCUCUGAGAAUGCAAAAGGGUAACUAAUAACUGGAAGAACCAUAUAUUCGGCUUCCGCCAUGUCAAUGUUUAAUUGAUUGGGCCAUAUACAAGCCUUUUACCACGCCUGUUCCUUUAUUUUGCUUCAGGGUAGACAGGAAUGCCAUAAACGUGUGCGUAGCACUGUUAGCUAAGGAAGGGAAACAGAGGCUAGGCGUGGUAUUUAUCAGCGAUUCCGGUAUCUAAACCAGAAAUCCAUAAUAUCUGUAAGACCAAAUCAACUAAACCGCAUGUCCGCAUGUGUAUUAUUUAACCAUGCGGAAGUUUCUUUUAAAAAUGCACUUUCAACAAAAUAAUUAAUGGACCAUCACACGUACUGAUCGUUAUCAGAAUCAGAAAUUCCGACAGACUUCACCAAGGUGCAGCUAGGAGGAUCAGAAAGUCCAACAGAAAGAUCACCCGGAUAUAAAAUCGAAAGGUCUUGGACAGCAGCAAUAGUUCAAUCAUAAACUGAGCUAUUUAUGAUUGAAACUGCAAUCUAACUAUUCUGAUAUGAUGGCAGUCAAAACUAAAUUACUAUUAGUCAAUCAUGAACUAUAUGCACUACAUAGAUACCCUGAGAAUGUACAUACAGGUGCGACAGAUUGGUAAUAUAAUAAGGUGAGGAAGAAACAUGCUACCAAGUCCGUGGCAGCCUGCAUUGUAACAUGAUCACCUCACUGUCCAUCUCUAGUUGGUUCAGUAAUAAGCAUAGAAAUGUAAGGACAGUUCAUCCUUCCACUCUAAUUGAUAAAUAUUUACUGGUAAAUAAAUAGUGAAAAGGAGCAGGCACUGACUUUGGCAUCUUCUUAAGAUAUUCUCUGUAAUCCAUAGGGACAUAUCCAGUAUAUACCUCAUGAUGAGCCAAUGAGAUCCAAGCUGUGAAUGAAAAUACACUAAUGUGAGAACAAAGGAUCUGACAAGGAUUUUUUUUCAUCUUCUCCGGUAACAACAGAAAAAAGAUACACCCAAUUCUUGUAGACGUAUAUAUCUAGCAAUUAAAAUCAUUCUUACGGUUACUGUGAGAAGGACCCUGAUAAAAGUAGCCACUUUGAUAAUACUAACCUGCUUCACCAGCUGUUGCCGUACAAAUAUACGGUGUUCAGGAGUUCGGUAAAAUUGAACAAACGCCCAAAACUGUUUAAAAUGGAGAUUUGGAAAGAGGUAAGUACUUGCAGAGUAAGUUUUGUACUGAAUACCAAACAUGCUAUUCUCAAAAUGUAAACAGAAAAUCAAAUCCCAUAAAUAAACCUGACAAUUGCCGUCUCCGUUGAAUUUUGAGCUCAACCAAGCCGUACAACACCAACCUAAGUAAGAGAUCUAUAUUGGAAUAAAAUGACAAACAAUCAGAAAAACCUAACACAUAGCACAGAAAAUUGUGUGCAGAUUUAUGAGACAAAUUAUAUUUACUGAUGCUUAAAACAACUAUAUAUUCACUCAAAUGAUGUUCAGUACAGUAUCAUCAAAAAGGUAUUAGUAACAGGUUCAUAAGACUAAUGCCGGAAGACAUGCAAGUGAACGAGUUUCUUGAUCAUCGAUGGGCGGGACCGACAAAUGUGGCUGGUUCAAGUAGGAGGGAGCUUACACCGGCAUUCUCAGGAGGCGUGAAGCAGCUGCUAGGUGCGCCCAAGCACCGGAAAGGCAAGGAAUCAUCAACCAUGGUUUCCCUUGUGCCACAAAUGAAACAAAAAAAAUCCGUAAAUACUUCUGUUGCAAAGAGACUGUAUCUACAUUAGUAUAUGUGCAGAUGACUAUUUCCUUAUAUCACAUCAUAUCAACUCAAUCCAAUAAUUUCAAAUCCAAAUGAUGUGAGGCACACCAUUGUUUACGACAGAAGUUUAAAUCAUUCCCUUACUUUGAAAGAAUUUAGUUAUCAUUAAAAACACUUCUCAAAAAUCUGAAGCUCGCCCUCGUCUAUUGUAUUAUCUAUCCCUCAUAUCCACUUGUAUAUUAUUUAUCCCAGCACAUGUUACAUCAAUGAAUAUCAGUCAUCGAGAUAACUUCAGUACCAAUAAAGUUCAAAUAGACAAAUUCAGCACCUAAAUGAUAGAUAUAAGUUCAGAUUGUUUAAUGAACCUUUACAUUGCACUUUUUAUCCCUAGGUAAAAUGAAACAUCUGUACGAAGUAGACUCUCUUCAUCGGAUAUAAGCAAGUGACACAAGAAUCUGACCUUGCAGAUACUUGCUAUGGUCAAGUGGAUCUGAAGAUUACACAGUUUGUCAUCACCUCAUAUAGUCUUGAUCCAACUGCUGGUGUACCUCGUCACCUUCGAGCCAGUACCCACCAGGCGGCGAC